CAGUGACAAGAGUAUUGCAUAGUGCUUUCUAUUGCUCUGUGUGAACUUAGGCGAUGGAAAAUAAUAGCAUCCUCCAGGUAUUCGUUGUUUUUCUCAUCGCGCAAGUUUGCUUACUGAUGAUGAUGGCAGCACCGGUAGCGUAGGCAGCCGGCAGGCUCAUGGGGUACAAUCCCGUUUGCUGCCCUAGGGACAUCUAUUGUUGUGGGUUCGGCGGAGUGAUUUCCAAUGGAACUGCAUCCUCCACCACUCCUUGAUAUGUUGUCUCACUCUCCUCCGAGCUAUAAGCUAGGGCCAAUAAAAUGUGCUUCAAAUUGGUCGUUUUGUUUCUUAUAUGCAAUUUGUGCGACUAGUUUCCAGAAAUAUUAUGUGUAAGCUAUUUUGCUAAUAAAAGUGGGAGGAGAUUGUUAUCUAUGUUGUUUGCAAUGUGCCGCAAAGAUAUUUGGAAUUAUCACUGGUAGAAAAAGGGCCUGUUGUCCCGGUUCGUAAGGGCCUUUUGUCCCGGUUCUGGAACCGGGACUAAAGGGUCGGUACUAAUGCCCUGUCCCUUUACUCCCGGUUCAAUCCAGAACCGGGACAGAUGGGCCUCCACGUGGCCUGUGCGCGGAGCCCAGGCAGGAGACCCUUUGGUCCCGGUUGGUGGCACCAACCGGGACCAAUAGGCAUCCACGCGUCAGCAUUUCUGUGGUUGGGGUUUUUGUUUUUUUUGAAAGGGGGGUGUUUGGGGGUUUUGGGGGGUUAAUUUAGGUGUUUCAUAUAUUGUGUUAGCUAGCUAUAAUUAAUAGAGAGAAGUGUCCUCUCUUAUGUCCGUGCUUGGUCGACGCUACGUACUAUACAUACGUAUAGAGAGGACUAGAUACGCUAGCUAGCUAGUAAGCAAACGAAGGAAACAGAAGAUCGUCAUGAACAUAUAUGCAUACAAAGAGAAGUGAUAUCGACCACCUCUCCUUCUCCGAGAGAUUGGUCGAACAACAAGUUCUCGUAUAUCUAUCCGACACUACCGGCUACAUAUAUACAAUAAUUAUCUCUUACAAAUAUAAUCAUACGGACUCAGGGUCCACAUAGAAUUCUCCGUCUUCAGGGAUCACGUGGUCAAGAAAGAAUGCCGCCAAUUCCUCUUGAAUUGCUCGCAUGCGAGCUGGUGCUAGGAGUUCAUCCCGCUUCCAAAACAUCUAAUUUAAAGAAGGGGGUCAAUACAUAUAUAUAUAUAUGAAUGAAUGAAACUCAACACAAAUGAUGGUAAUAAAAUAAAAUUGUGAAUGUUGUUAUUUACGUACUUCAUAUUGUUCGUCAGUGUAGCCCCGCUCACAGGUCGUGUGGCGGAUGGACUCGCAAACGUAGUAUCCACAGAAAUCAUUCCCUUGUUCCUGCCGCAACCACUUUACAAGAAAUAGAGGUCAAUCAAACUGAUAAGCAAGAAUGCCAAAUGGUAUUGAUGAAACUAGUGCUUGAAUGACUAGUAGAUGCGUGGAACAUGCUACUAUAGUACUUACUUUCGGGUGUCUAAAUUGCAGCUCCUUCGGCAGUCCCGGAGCUUUUCUGGUGAAUUUUCUCCAAACCCUGCCGGACAAAGAAAACAAUUACUUGAUAUAUCAGGAAAUGAACAAAGUUACUGAUAUGGUGGAUAAUGAUCGAUUUAACUUACUUCUCGAGUAUUUGAGUCAUGUAUGCAUAGUCCUGGGGAUCUUUUCGUUUUGAGUCUAAGACGGUUACUAGUCCCUGCUCAAGCUUAAUCUCUAGGAGAAUAUAGUGGAAACUGCACACGCAUGCAUAACUCAUCAAUUACAUUACUAUAACCUUGACUAAUAUAUAAGGGAAACCGAAUACGCACAAGACAGUAACACUCACUUGAAGUUGUAAGGAAAGAGUAUUAUAUCUUUGUUUUAAUUUAUUACGAACGAUCGUAGCAAGUUGGCCUCGGUAGCUGCGGCAUGAAAUUUAACCUGAGUUGCAUCUAUGAGAUAUGUGUUAAUGAACCCAAUAUCACCGACUUGUCUUUCCUUCAAUUCGGCGAUCUUCAAUCUGCAUAAUAUAGUGAGGAUGAUUAUAAAUACAUGCAAUGAAAGAGCUGAGCUAUAUAGAGAGACUUAAUGACAGAAGUGGUACUACUUACAGACAGUAGCAGGCGACCGUUGUUUUAUCGAGGGACAAUUGAUUGAAAAACUGAUAGAACUCCUCAAAUGGAACAGGCAACAGUUCAAUUCCAACGAGGUCAUGCUCCUUUUUAACUUUCACAUACAAAGUACUCCUGGCUAAUGAUGAAGCCAUGGAUUUCUUCAAUACUUUGACACUAGGAAAUCUCUCUCUCGACCCCUCGGCGAUCCUCGACCCCUCGAACCCUCGACGACCCUGGAACCCUCGACCCCUCGGCGAUCCUCUUCUUCCUCUCAUGUUCGAGAGGAUCGCCGAGGGGUCGGGAGGUUGCCUAGUGUCAAAGGAUUCAACAAAACCAUGUCUUCAUCAUUAGGCAAAAGUAACAGGUGCUUGAUGGUACGAAGCUCUCCAAAGUUAUUUUGGAAUGGAGUCCUAGAUAGGAUAAUUCGCUUUUUGGUACAAAGUUCAGCAAGAACCUUCCAAAUAUCGUUAUUUGGAAGGCCUUUGCUGAAAUUCAUACAAAAAGGCAAAUUAUCCUAUCCGGGACACCAUUCCAAAAUAACUUUGGAGGACUUCGUCAUGCCCUGGUUACUUUCGGCUAAUGAUGAAGCCAUGGAUUUCUUCAAUACUUUGACACUAGGAAACCUCUCUCGACCCCUCGGCGAUCCUCGACCCCUCGAACCCUCAACGACCCUGGAACCCUUGACCCCUAGACGACCCUGGAACCCUCGACCCUCGAUCCCUCGACCCUAUAGAACCCUCGAACCCUCGACCCUGAAACCCUCGACCCUUGACCCCUUAACGACCCUCGACCCUCUACCCUAGUUCCCGACCCACGACCCCUCGGCGAUCCUCGACACCCUCGUUCCCGAUAAAAAUUAAGAAGAAGAAGAAGAAGAAGAAGAAGAAGAAGAAGAAGAAGAAGAAAAAGAGGAGAAGAAGAAAGGAAUAGCUAGAGGAGAAGAUCGAAGAAAAAGAAGAAGAAAAAAAAGAGGAGAAGAAGAAAUGAAUAGUGGAGAAGAAGAAAAAAUAGAAUAUAUUCUAUUUUCUCUUCUUCUCCACUAUUCCUUUCUUCUUCUCCUCUUCUUUUUCUUCUUUUUUCUUCUUCUUAUUUAUUUAUCCUCUUCUUCCUCUCCUCUUCUUCUUUCGACCCCUCGUCCCUCUCUCGACCCCUCGACGACCCUCGUCCCUGAUAACAUUUUUUUCUCCCCUCGACCCCUCUCGACCUCUCGUCCCCCUCUCGACCCCUCAUCAUCAUCUAUCACCCCCCUCGUUUUCUUUAGCAUAUAUCCAUGAACAAAAAAAUAAUUCAUAUAUAGAAAAAUUGCUAUAUGAACAUACAUACAUAUGAGCAUAUACAGAGAGCAUAUACAUAGCCAAAUCCAUAUACAGAGAGCAUAUAGAUACAUACAUACAUAUGAGCAUAUACAUACAUACAUAGCCAAAUCCAAAUACAUAUGAGCAUAUACAUAUACACAUAUGAAAAAUUUUAUCACACACAGAGAGCAGCGGCGGCGGCGGCGAUGGUCAGAGCGACAGGGAUCGAUGGGAAGGGGGGAGCUCACUGGGGGCGUGACGGGGAGGAGGCCGGCGACGGCGCGGGGAGGCCGGCGACGCGGCGCGGGGCGACGGGGAGGGGGCCGGAGAUGGCGCACGCAGCNNNNNNNNNNNNNNNNNNNNNNNNNNNNNNNNNNNNNNNNNNNNNNNNNNNNNNNNNNNNNNNNNNNNNNNNNNNNNNNNNNNNNNNNNNNNNNNNNNNNNNNNNNNNNNNNNNNNNNNNNNNNNNNNNNNNNNNNNNNNNNNNNNNNNNNNNNNNNNNNNNNNNNNNNNNNNNNNNNNNNNNNNNNNNNNNNNNNNNNNNNNNNNNNUCACAAGUGCUACCUUAUAUACCCAGAGCAAUGGUCCCGGUUCGUGGCAUGAACCGGGACGAAUGCCUACCUAUGGUCCCUUUGGUCCCGGUUGGUGGCUCGAACCGGGACCAUAGGGGGGCAAUCGUCCCGGUUGGUGCCACGAACCGGUACCAAUGCCCCCCCUAUGGUCCCGGUUGGUGCCUCCAACCAGGACCAAUGGCCUUGUGCUGGCACUGGCACGGCCGAAAGUUUAAUCCCACCUCACUAGCUGAAGGGCGCCGGCACUUGUUUAUAAGUGCUGGUGUGCCUCCCCAUUCGAGCUCCUCUCUUAUGCAGGCUUUCGGGUCUAAACUUGUUACUGCCUGUGGGCCUAUUGGGCCUUCUGCGGGCCUGAAUCCUGGCCCAUGUAAGGUUUCUACUCGUAUUCAGGCCGUGGAGGCCCAGUAGGUGGCAUUUUUUUGGUUUUUCUUUUUUAUUUCUACAUUUUUUUUGGUUUUUUAUUUUUUUUAUUUCUACUUAAAACUAAAUACUUACAGUUUUUUAGUGAUUUCUUUUUGCUUUUAGGUCACAAAAAUUAUAAACUUUCUGUUAGUGUCAUUAGUUUUAAAUUUUGAAUAGUUUAAAUUUGAAUUUUUAAAAAUUUGUGUGCAUCACUAGUUUAUGAAUAACUUUACUAUAAAAAUAGAAUUUUUUUUCUAUUUAUUUUUUAUUUAUACUUACAACUAAAUACUUAUAGUUAUUUAGUGAUUUCUUUUUGAUUUUAGGUCACAAAAAUUAUAAACUUUCUGUUAGUGCCAUUAGUUUUAAAAUUUUGAAUAGUUUAAAUUUGUAUUUUUUAAAAUUUGUGUGAAUCACUAGUUUAUGAAUAACUUUACUAUAAAAAUAGAUUUUUUUUUCUUUUUUUCUAUUUAUUUUUUAUUUAUACUUACAAUUAAAUACUUAUAGUUUGAUUUUAGGUCACAAAAAUCAUAUUCUUUUUGCUAUUGAAGAAUAUUAUAGUUUUAUUUUAGUUGAUCAUAACAUAAUAUUUUAAUUGAUUGUUUUUAUUUUCAUAAAAGUUUUGUAGUUCAUUCUGUUUGCUAUCAAUUCAUUCUUUGAGCUAAAUGACCCUGAAAUUGGAAAGCAUUUAAAAUGAACUCUGAAAAGGUUGAAAGUUGGCAUGGUAUCAUCAUUUCACCCACAUAGCAUGUUCCAAAAAGUAGAGAGGGUUACGACAAAAACUUGAUGCACUUCGUGUACAAAAUGGACAAUCACUUUCGAAGUAUCAAAGUUUCGGACAAUAACUGCGCCACAUCAUUGGCUAGGACGAAUGGUUCGUCUGUGUACCCAAGAUUGUUUAGAUCCACUGUUGUCAUACCGUACUGUGGGUCUACCUGUACCCCGCCUCCUGACAUAUUGAUCCAUUUGCCUCAACACAUAAAACCUUGAACCAUAAGACAUGAAAGCAUUUCAAAUGAACUCUGAAAAAGUUGAAAGUUGGGAUGGUAUCAUAAUUUCACCCACAUAGCAUGUGCAUGUACAAAACGGACAAUGGUAGCAUGUUCGUGUGUUACAAAGUUGGCAUGGUAUCAUCAUAAUAGUUGCGGGAGAAAGUCUUCACUUUUUCUUCGCUUGUGUCAUUUGAUUAUUGCGCCGUAACCAUGGAUAAUCUUCAUUGUUUAUCAGGAUGCUUGGGUCAGCCUUGACAUUGAAGGGAGGAAUUUCAUGAAACUUUUCAUAAUCUUCAGACAUGUCUGUCAUGCCCUCCACUCCCAGGAUGUCCCUUUUUCCUGAAAGAACUAUGUGGCGCUUUGGCUCAUCGUAUGAUGUAUUCGCUUCCUUAUCUUUUCUUUUUCUCGGUUUGGUAGACAUGUCCUUCACAUAGAUAACCUGUGCCACAUCAUUGGCUAGGAGGAACGGUUCGUCAGUGUACCCAAGAUUUUUCAGAUCCACUGUUGUCAUUCCGUACUGUGGGUCUACCUAUACCCCGCCGCCUAACAGAUUGACCCAUUUGCACUUAAACAAAGGGACCUUAAAAUCAGGUCCGUAGUCAAGUUCCCAUAUGUCCACUAUGUAACCAUAAUAUGUGUGCUUUCCGCUCUCGGUUGCUGCAUCAAAGCGGACACCGCUGUUUUGGUUGGUGCUCUUUUGAUCUUGGGCGAUUGUGUAAAAUAUAUUCCCAUUUAUCUCGUAUCCUUUGUAAGUCAAUACAGUCAAAGAUGGUCCCCUGGACAACAAGUACAACUCAUCACAAACAGUGUUGUCACCUCUGAGACGUGUUUCCAACCAACUGCUGAAAGUCCUGAUGUGUUCACAUAUAAUCCAGUCGUCGCACUGCUCCGGGUGUUUGGAGCGCAGACUGUUCUUGUGUUCAUCGACAUACGGGGUCACCAAGGUAGAGUUCUGUAGAACUGUGUAGUGUGCUUGAGACCAAGAAUAUCCGUCCCUGCAUAUUAUUGAGUUUCUUCCAAGAGUGCCUUUUCCAGUCAGUCUCCCCUCAUACCGCGAUUUAGGGAUACCUAUCUUCUUAAGGCCAGGAAUGAAGUCAACACAAAACCCGAUAACAUCCUCUGUUUGAUGGCCCAUGGAGAUGCUUCCUUCUGGCCUAGCGCGGUUACGGACAUAUUUCUUUAGGACUCCCAUGGACCUCUCAAAGGGGAACAUAUUGUGUAGAAAUACGGGCCCCAGGAUGACAAUCUCGUCGACUAGAUGAACUAGGACGUGCGUCAUGAUAUUGAAGAAGGAUGGUGGGAACACCAGCUCGAAACUGACAAGACAUUGCGCCACAUCACUCCUUAGCCUUGGUACGAUUUCUGGAUCGAUCACCUUCUGAGAGAUUGCAUUGAGGAAUGCACAUAGCUUCACAAUGGCUAAUCGGGAAGCCCCCUCAAUGCAACCGGAAGCAGUUGCGUCAUAAUCACGUGGCAGUCAUGAGACUUAAGGUUCUGAAACUUUUUCUCUGGCAUAUUUAUUAUUCCCUUUAUAUUCGAUGAGAAGCCAGUCGUGACCUUCAUACUGAGCAGGCAUUCAAAGAAGAUUUCUUUCUCUUCUUUUGUAAGAGCGUAGCUGGAAGGACCUUUAUACUGCUUCGGAUGCAUGCCAUCUUUUUCGUGCAAACGUUACAGGUCCUCCCAUGCCUCAGGUGUAUCUUUUGUCUUCCCAUACACGCCCAAGAAUCCUAGCAAGUUCACGCAAAGGUUCUUCGUCACGUGCAUCACGUCGAUUGAGGAGCGGACCUCUAGGUCUUUCCAGUAGGGUAAGUCCCAAAAUAUAGAUUUCUUCUUCCACAUGGGUGCGUGUCCCUCAGCGUCAUUCGGAACAGCUAGUCCACCGGGACCUUUCCAAAGAUUACGUAGUGUAAAUCAUUGACCAUAGCAAGCACGUGAUCACCGGUGUGCAUGGCGGGCUUCUUCCGGUGAUCUGCCUCGCCUUUGAAAUGCUAUCCUUUCUUUCGACAUUGAUGGUUGGUCGGAAGAAAUCGACGAUGGCCCAGGUACACAUUCUUCCUGCAUUUGUCCAGGUAUAUACUUUCAGUGUCAUCUAAACAGUGCGUGCAUGCGUGGUAUCCUUUGUUUGUCUGUCCUGAAAGGUUACUGAGAGCGGGCCAAUCAUUGAUGGUCACGAACAGCAACACCUUAAGGUUAAAUUCCUCCUGUCUGUGCUCAUCCCACGUACGUACACCGUUCCCAUUCCACAGCUGUAAAAGUUCUUCAACUAAUGGCCUUAGGUACACAUCAAUUUCGUUGCCGGGUUGCUUAGGGCCUUGGAUGAGAACUGGCAUCAUAAUGAACUUCCGCUUCAUGCACAUCCAAGGAGGAAGGUUAUACAUACAUAGAGUCACGGGCCAGGUGCUGUGAUUGCUGCUCUGCUCCCCGAAAAGAUUAAUGCCAUCCACGCUUAAAGCAAACCAUACAUUCCUUGGGUCCUUUGCAAACUCAUCCCAGUACUUUCUCUCGAUUUUUCUCCACUGCGACCCGUCAGCGGGUGCUCUCAACUUCCCAUCUUUCUUUCGGUUCUCACUGUGCCAUCGCAUAAACUUGGCAUGCUCUUCAUUUCUGAACAGACGUUUCAACCAUGGUAUUAUAGGAGCAUACCACAUCACCUUCGCAGGAACCCUCUUCCUGGGGGGCUCGCCGUCAACAUCACCAGGGUCAUCUCGUCUGAUCUUAUACCGCAAUGCACCGCAUACCGGGCAUGCGUUCAGAUCCUUGUAUGCACCACGGUAGAGGAUGCAGUCAUUAGGGCAUGCAUGUAUCUUCUCCACCUCCAAUCCUAGAGGGCAUACGACCUUCUUUGCUGCGUAUGUAUUGUCAGGCAAUUCGUUAUCCUUUGGAAGCUUCUUCUUCAAUAUUUUCAGUAGCUUCUCAAAUCCUUUGUCAGCCACAGCAUUCUCUGCCUUCCACUGCAGCAAUUCCAAUACGGUACCGAGCUUUGUGUUGCCAUCUUCGCAAUUGGGGUAUAACCCUUUUUUGUGAUCCUCUAAUAUGCAAUCGAACUUCAGCUUCUCCUUUUGACUUUCGCAUUGCGUCCUUGCAUCGACAAUGACCCGACGGAGAUCAUCAUCAUCGGGCACAUUGUCUGGUUCCUCUUUAUCUUCAGCAGCUUCACCCGUUACAGCAUCAUUGGGCACAUCGUCUGGUUCCUCUUGAUCUUCACCAGCUCCACCCGUUGCAGCAUCACCGUAUUCAGGGGGCACAUAAUUGUCAUCGUACUCUUCUUCUUCGCCGUCUUCCAUCAUAACCCCUAUUUCUCCAUGCUUCGUCCAAACAUUAUAGUGUGGCAUGAAACCCUUGUAAAGCAGGUGGGAGUGAAGGAUUUUCUGGUUAGAGUAAGACCUCGUAUUCCCACAUUCAGUGCAUGGACAACACAUAAAACCAUUCUGCUUGUUUGCCUCAGCCGCAUCGAGAAACUCAUGCACGCCCUUAAUGUACUCGCGGGUGUGUCUGUCACCGUACAUCCAUUGCCAGUUCAUCUGCGUGCAUUAUAUAUAAUUAAGUGUCCAAAUUAAUAGAAGUUCAUCAUCACAUUAAAACCAAAGUGCAUACAUAGUUCUCAUCUAACAACAUAUAGCUCUUGAGAGCAUCUAAUUAAUUAAACCAUACAUUGAAACUAUGUAAAACAUUUCAAUGCGAAAACAAAUGCGAUCAUAAUCACAACCAAGGUAACAAUUGAUCCAACGGCAUAAUGAUACCAAGCCUCGAUAUGAAUGGCAUAUUUUCUAAUCUUUGUAAUCUUCAAGCGCAUUGCAUCCAUCUUGAUCUUGUGAUCAUCGACGACAUCCGCAACAUGCAACUCCAAUAUCAUCUUCUCCUCCUCAAUUUUUUUUAUUUUUUCCUUCAACAAAUUGUUUUCUUCUUCAACUAAAUUUAACCUCUCGACAAUAGGGUCGGUUGGCAUUUCCGAUUCACAUACAUCCUACAUAAAUAAAAUCUAUGUCACGUUGGUCGGCAUAAUUUUCAUAAACAAUAAAUGAACCAAUAGUUAUAAAGAUAAUAUCUAUACCACAUCCGAAUCAUAGACAGGACGAGGGCCGACGGAGGCGGAUACCAAAACCAUCGCACUAUAUAAGAUGCAAUAAUAAAAGUAAGAAAAUAAUACAAGUAUCUAUGUAAACAUACAAGUAAGAAUAUUUUUCCUUUCAGAAAGAAGAUAAGAACAAGAGGCUCACCACGGUGGUGCCGGCUAUGAGCUCGGCGCGGGUGAUCGACGGCGGUGAAGACGGGGACGGGGCGUGACGGACCGCUAAACCUAGACAAAUAUUAUGGAAAAUGGAGUUUGGAGGUCGAGCUUGGAGAGGAGAAAGCUUAAGUAGUGUGGCUCGGGCAUUCCAUCGAACACCUUGUGUGCAUAGGAGGUGAGCUAGAGCACCACCAAGCCCUCUCCCCCUUGGCUAGAGAAAAACAGAGCACUGGGGUGCUCUGCUCGCGAGCGAGGGAUAUAUAUAUAGGCACCUCAUUGGUCCCGGUUGGUGACAUGAGCCGGGACUAAAGGGGAGCCUUUGGUCCCGGCUCAAGCCACCAACCGGGACCAAUGGUGGUGGGCCAGGAGCGAGGCCCAUUGGUCCCGGUUUAUCCCACCAACCGGGACCAAAAGGUCCAGAUGAACCGGGACCAAUGGCCCACGUGGCCCGGCCGGCCCCCUGGGCUCAUGAACCGGGACCAAUGCGUUCUGGACUGAACCGAGACUAAUGGGCUGACCCGGCCUGGACCAAAGCCCUGUUUUCUACUAGUGUAUGUUUACUUUAGUGUUUUUUGAGGAUCAUAUCAUACUGUAUUUUCAUGGUUAAACUCAUGUUAUGAUAAUAAAGGUACCAUCCGUAGUUGAUUCCAGUUUAUUACUAACAAUAGCGGUUAAUCCAUCACAUAGAGUGUCAAUUUGUUGCGGACAUCAAUCAACUUAACCCUGUAUUUGUCGCCCUCGCCAAAUCUUACUCAAUCAAGCUUCUAAAACUAGAUGAGAACUAAUAUGUUUCCUUUUUCUAGCCCAUUCUGCUUCAUCUCUUUUUCAUCGUUCUUCUUAUUCCCAAUGCCUAAAACCCCAACCAUGCAUGUGUACCGACCCAACUUAGAUGAGGCACAGUGGUCAAGGCAUCAUGCGUGCCUGCUCAUGUACUUGAACACUCCGUCCGGCUGAUUGUUUCGCGGCACUGAGGAGCACCUUCUUGCGCAUGUGCCACCAUUCGAAGGAUCUCGGUGCGACACAGGGGCGAAUUUACCGUACGGGCGCCCUGGGCACGUGCCCGGGCCCAUCCCGUCAAUUUUCUAAACUAUAGCGAACCUUUCUAGGCAUCGUAUGCGUAAAAAAUGCUCAAAAACAAGAAAAUACGAUGGAAAGUACGUAAACUUCUCUAACUGGGCCAGUCUGAGCGUUUUUCUGCAGUUUGGCUAAGCAAUCACAUGGACCACAACAACCAGUAGGCCUUGUUUGCUCGAUCGAUCCAUGAAUGGAUUGAAGCAGAAUCGAUCGAUGCAUGUUCGUUUUCGUGCACAGGAACGCGAGAUCGGAGUCGCGACCUUACCAUCUGCUGCGCGGCUGCGCCUCCGACGCGGCGAGGGCGCGAUGCAGACCGUCGCCUGACGGAACCCGGCAGCCAGAUUAACAUCGGCCGGCAAGAUUGCAAAAGAGAUCAGAGAUAACACGCGGCCAGGCCUCGGCUAUGACUCCGGUGGGCGACGGUCAAGAUCGGAAGCACAAGCGCGGGCGCCACAGCGGCGAAUCCUCCUGUACCACCAAUGAGAAUUCAACUCUGGCUCAAUCGGACGUUGGGUAGUCAGCAUCGACACUAACCACAUGAGCAGCGGCAGGCCGGCAGCGAGCGCUCAACCCGUUGAAGGGCAUGACCAAAAGAAAUCCAGUAGCAGAGCGCCAACAAUUAGGACUAAAGGCAAGUGGCAACUAGGUGAGUUAUUUGAUUUGGUAUUGUAUUUAAGUUUUUAUUUACUUCUUUGAUCUAUAAAACAUCAGUGCAUAUAUUACACACGACAUUUAUUCAAAUAUAUGAUACUUAUCAUGUUUGAUAGACCAAAGUAAAUUUUAGCUUACAAGAUGCCCGGGCUUUGGCAAUUCGCUGGCUCCGCCACUGGUGCGACAGUUCCAUCAGGAUGUCCUCCUGACAUGUCACACCUUAGGGUGUUGAGAAUAAGUAGAUAGAGUAUGCACAUCAGACGUUUGAGAAAAAUGCUCGGCAUUUGGGGCGCGUUUGUCGUCUGUCAAACCGUGGACAAGGGUGUGUCCUGGUGGUGUGCUCAUCGAGGUUCCUGGACAUGGCCGAGCUCUGGUUUUUUCGACUUUUUGUUUUUCACCUGCCUUUCUUAGCUUUUGGAUUAAAAAAAAAUUUGCAAACAUUUUUUGGGUGAAAUAAUACGCUUUUUUAACUUCCGCGAGAGACACGGUUUUGCUUUUGCGAGAGGCACAGCCAUGCUUCUUGGAAAAUGGAAAAAAACUUGUUUUCUGUUUUAUUUUCUUCCGCGAGAGGCACGGUUUUGUUUCUGCCAGAGGUAUGGUUUUGUUUUAGCGAGAGGCACGACUAUGUCUCUCAAAAAAACAAUUUCUUUGGUUUUUUUUCUUCUACGAGAGACACGGUUUUGAUUCCGCGAGAGGCAUGAUUGUGCUUUCGCGAGAGACAAAGCCAUGCCUCUCAGAAACGAAAAAAAACAUUUUUCUGUUUUUUUUUCUACCGCGAGAGGCAUGGUUGUGCUUUCACGGCCGUGCCUCUCGGAAACGUAUAAAAAUACGUUUUUUGUUUUAUUUUGCUUCCACGAGAGGCACGAUUUGGCUUCCACGAGCCGUGCCUCUCAGAAACAAAAAAACGUGUUUUCUGUGUUUUUCUUCUUCUGUGAGAGGCGCGGUUUUACUUUCAUGAGGGGCACGGUUGUGAUUUUCUCGAGAGGUACAAUCGUGCCUCUUUCAGAAAGGAAAAAAACCAUGCUCCCAAUUCGGUUUUUUCGUUCAGUUUUUUUCAUGAAAAAAAGUUAGUCAAAACCUAUCAAUAUAGGAUCUAGUUUUAUAGAUCUCGGCACGAGAAUCCAACAGUGAAAACAGUUCGAUAUUUGGACACACGGUUUAAGAGAUAAAACAUUUUGAAUAAACGAAUCUACGAAAAAAGAGAAAAUUCUUAGGUUGCGACAAUGGUUCAUAUGUGCACUGCUUCAUUUGUCACAACCUGAGAAGGUGGGAGUGAUCUUUACAAUAAGUACUUUUUAAUUAAUGAUUUUGGAGGUUCCCAGGCCCACGCACCUGCACACAUGCGCCGGCUCAUCGCGUGCGACACGAUCGCUCAACAGCGGGCAGCUCGGGAAAAUCCUAUAUACCGCUCGCUGCUGCAAACUGUCGACCAAAAGCACAGUUGAGCGAGGUGAGCGGUCUGAGAUGGGCCAGCCUAUUUUAGCAUGGCGUAGCACCUGUUUCACCCGGUUUUAGGAACCUUCUAGAAGGCCCUGAACCAGUUUUAUUUCUAGUUUAUUCUGGUUUUUCCCAUUCUCGUUUCUUAUUUUUGGUUUUAUUCCCGUCUUUGUUUCUUUUUUUCUGUUUAAGUUUUCUUUUUUAUUUCAUUUACUGUUUAUUUUUAAGUUUCAUUUUUUUCAUUUUAUUGUUCUUACAAAAAAUAUUUCAAAUAUAAAAAACAUUGUAAUAAUUAGAUUUUGUUCAUGAAUUAUAAAAAAAUGUUUGCAUUUUUAGAAUAUUUUUGAGGAAUUUCAAAAUUAGUUUUUGUUUUUCGAAAAUUGUUCAUAAUUUUUUCCUUAAAAAUUCACCACUUUUUUCAGGAUUUCGAAAAAUGUUUCGUAGUAAAAAUUGUUCGCAAAUGAAGAAAUUUCACGUAUUCAAUUUUUUAGGAGCUUGAAAAAUGUUCUCCUUUCCCAAAAAUUAUUUGGAAAUUUAAAAAAAUGCUCUGAAUUUGAAAUAACCUUCGUAUUUUUCAAAUUUUGUUCAUACAUUCAAAAUUAUUCGCAUUUUCCAAAUAGUCUUCAGGAAUAUCAAAAAUUGUACGUAUGUUCAAAAAUUGUUCAUAAAUAUUUUCUUUAAAAUGUUCAAAAUCGUUUUUCCGAAUAUUGUUCACAAAUUUGAAAAAAAUCUUCGGAUCUUAAAUUUUGAUUGGUAGUUUGAAUUUUGUCUACUUUUCGGCAAUUGUUCAGAAAUUUCAAAACAUAUUGGUGUUUUCAAAAUUAUUUAGGAGAUUGAAAUUUGGUUUGCCUAUUUUAAAAAAAAUGUAUUGGAUUUUUUGGAAUUCCAGAAAAUGUUCUGUUUUGAAAAAAAUCGCGUCGGAAUUUUGGGAGUUUCAUUUUUUUAGUUUGGUAGAAAAAUUGAAAAGUGAUCCUGUUCCAUAAAACAUCAAUUUUUUUCCAGAAAAUAUUUUGCAUUGGAAAUUUCAAAAAUAAUCUUGGCGGUGCUAGAAUGUGUUCUUAAAGUUUUAGUGCUGCUUUGUAGCAUUAAUGUGAGGAUCCACCUAUGCAUGCGGGUGACAAUAAGGGAAGCUAAAGGCGCCAUAUAGGAACUGUCGAGUGCUCCUGCCGUCUCGCAUGAACCACCACUAUGUAUCGUUAUAAGCGACUGCGUGAGCUCGCUCGCCUACAGCGACCCCUUCGUGGGCCUGCCCAAUGAGGAGGGCACUACCCUCCCAGUCCCGAGCCACGGACGGGGCAUGUGACAUGGACAUCUCGCAGUUUUUUGAAUCCUAGAAAGAAGGUGAAAAAAGAAAAAGUACCGAGCCCACAAUGGCGGUUGUGUGUGCGCAAGUAGCAAAAAGCACUAUGAUGGAAGUUGAAGGAGCCAUAUAGGAAUUGUCGAGUGCUCCUGCCGCCUCGCGUGAACCAUUACUAUGUAUCAUUACAAGCGACAGCGUAAGCUCGCUCGCCUACAACGACGCCUUCGUGGACAUCUCACACUUUUUUUGAACCUUAGAAAGAAGGGAAAAAAAGGGAAAUAGCAAAAAGCACUAUGACGGUUGCUGAAGGCGCCAUAUAGAAAUUGAUGAGUGCUCCUGCCGUCUCGCGUGAACCACUACUAUGUACAUGGGCCUGCCCAGUUAGGAGGGUGACACCCUCCUAGUCCCGACGAGCCACGUGCGGGGCGUGUGACUGAGGAUGACAAUUUUACCCAUGGGUAUGGGUACCCGUAGGUACCGUACCCGCAUGGGCAGAGUAUGGGCACAACUUUAUACCUACGAGUAGUACCCAUACCCUACCCGUUAAGUCAUGGGUAGGGCACGGGUAUAACCUUUUACCCAUGGAUAUACCCAUACCCUACCCAUUUUAUACCGACAUGUGAAUCUUACCCGUGAUUCACAAUCACAAGUGUACAUAUGUUAAAGUUGUGUUGUGAGCUUAUGAACCUAUGUUAAAGUUGUUACCAAUUGUCAAUUUGAAUUGAGAUAAUUUUCAUAUACUCAGCUAUUUGUUAUUGAGUUGAGAUCAAUGUUUUUUUUUAUCAAAUGUGCUAUAGAUGAAUGUAAAAUUACGAAUAACUUGUGUACUGUUUGAUCUACCCGUUGGGUACCCAAUGGGUAUGGGUACCUGUCGGGUAUGGGUACGGGUAAAAUAUCAUACCCAUGGGUACGGGUAUGGAUAGAAUUUUGUACCCAUUGACUACACACGUAUGGGUAUGGUAUUGCUCUACCCGCCCUAUACCCUACCUACUGUCAUCCUUACGUGUGACAUGGACGUUUUUUUACAUAUUAAUUUUCAUGCUUUUUUUAUUUUCAUGAUCAGUCUAAAAGAUAAAAUAAAAUGUGUUUAUACUUCUAGUUAUUAAUGAAGUUUGUGAAAAUAAAAAAAACUGUUUCUGGGUAUAAAAAUUAUUCCCCUUAUUUAAAUUUGUUCAUAAAUCUACAAAAAUGUUUUGGAUUCUUAAAAAUGUUCUUGAGUUUGAAAUGUCCACGAAGUAGCAAAUUUAUUCACGAAUAUGACAAAUUGUUCACUAAUUCACAAUUUUUGCAUGAAUAUAAUUUUUUUGUGAUUCAAAGAAAAUGUUCACAAAUUCAAAGAGUGUUGACAAAUUUAAAGACUGUCCAGUGAUUCACCAAAUGUCCGUGAAUUCAUUAAAAUCUUCAUGAUUUUUCAAAAUAUUCAUAGAGUUUCAAAAGAUAAUCGAAUGCGAAUUUUUUUAUUUGUUUUCAAAUCACGAAUUAGUAAGAAAUAAAAAGGACACAAAAUAACAAUAGAAAGAAAAGCGAAAAAAUCUCAUGAGAAAAACAUAAUAAGGGAAAAGAGAAGAACCUUCUGGAACCUUCCCAAAAGCGAAGGGAAGGUUCCCAAAUCCGUUCCUGGUUCUGGAAAUGAAUAGCUCAUGUCGGACCGUGAGUUGGCGAGUUCUCACUUAGUGCGCGCCAAGGCGAUAGACAUCAUUUUUGACCGUCGGUUGCGCUUAACAUGAUCAGCCUAUAUGGGCCUCCUAUCAACAGGCCCUUGAGGCCUAUUUUAAACACUCGAUCUCAUUGGCGGUCAUGAGACAUGGGCCGAUGGGCCCAAGGUGGUGCAUAGCAACUCUUUAGUGCUCCAUGUAGUGUGGGGCCUUGCCUUCUGGGCGGCAAGGUGUGCAUCUGUAGCGAUUCAUUGAUGGUCUAUGCCAGAUUGAGUCCACAACUUGAUGGUGAAGGCAUGUGGCGGCAAGUGAGUUGGCUCGUGACUGUCGUCGGAAUUUGCUACUUGUCACGACGAUUUUUGAAUCUUGUGCGCCACGAUCGGUUAAGCAUUAAUUUGUCAAGCUUAACCUCCGAGCACACGGAUAGCAUGGAGGGCUGCUGUCUGCUGAAUUCAUCCGCUUGCAUUUUUUCCUUUUUUCAAAAGGGUGAUGCUACGCGUCCGCCGGCCGAUGUCUCAUAGUUAUCCGCCGCAUCGAUGGCCGUCGGAUCCUCGUGCUAUUAGCAGUCCAAUGUAAUACCCGCGCCCCGCAUGCCCCUCAUUAAUUCCCGCAACAAGCGGCUGUUGCAGAAACAAAGAACAUUGCCCCCCGGCCCAGAGCUGCGCCCACCGCGGCACCGCCCCAUCCCAAAAUCACCUAUGGCCGGCACGGGGAGCAGCCAAAUAUCCUCUCUACAACACCAUGGCUCACCACAUCGUGCGGCAGAUGCUUGGGUCCAAUGCAGAUCGAGCUCACCGAGGGGCCCUGCUACAAGAACAGCCAUGGCCAUCGUUCGAAGCUCCGACUGUCGCCGGGGAGCUUUUGCCGCGAGUAGGAGUUUCAGCCUGGUUCAGGAACCCACUGGUGUUGUUUCCUGAAGCUCCUUUGACAAGAUCGCAUAAGGAAUCAUGGGUGAAACUCUGUUUCUGAAACACAAAUUCUAUUUAACUAUGAAGCAUGAAACUCUGAAAACACAACAUAUCAAACCCUGUGUGUGGAUACAACAAGGCACAUCCCCCUGUUUUACUUGUUCUGUCUCUGGAACAUGAGCCCCUGUAUUUGUAGUUGCAAUCUCUAAUGUUGCAAAAAAAAGAAAAAUGGCUCUGAUGUUCAGAAAAAAAUCACUCAUGUGAGAUUGCCUUUGAUGUGGUUUGAUUUUGUAUGCUGUUGUGAGAAAAUCAGAGUGUUUCUGAAUUCCUCAAAAGAUGUAGGCCAGAAACAAAUGUUGCAUGUUAAUUGACCUCUGUAAAAAAAUGGUAAAUUUUUCAUUUGAUAUCUUCUGUAAUUGAUUUUCUGAAACAAGUCAAAAAUUGUUGAUUCCAUGGAGAUAGAAAAUGACUACUGAAAAAAAACUGUCUGAUGCUAGAAGCUGGGACUGAAGGGGAAGAGAGCUAUGUCCAAGGCAAUUUUUGCUAUAUGUUUGAUGCAGGAAGCUGGGACUGAAGGGGAAAUGAACUGCUCCGGCGAGCUGUUCAUUUUCCUUGCAUCUCCUAAAGAAAAGAUGUACUUGCUCCCUAUGUUUGAGCUACAUUUAUAACUUCUUUUUGCAAGCUUGAUAAUGUAUAGAGUUGAAAUUUGCAACCUGUGUUACGAAAAAAAUACAGAAAAUAAAGAUAGCCUAGUUUGUUAUGUUUUCUUCAUGUAUUUGCCUGUGUUUGAGAUAUGCGACAUCAAUGUUUCUCUGCAUAAGUGCAAAAAACAAUGUGUCUAGUGUUACCAAAAAACAACAUUUGGCUUGAAUAAAAAAGAGUUUUGUGUGGUGAGAUUGCUCGAGCUUGCAUGCGUGAAAAUAUAGAUCAUGUAUUCAUGUUACAGGACACAUGAUCUUACAAGAAGACACUUUCGUUUUGAUGAUGUUAUAGGAACAUCUAUCCAUGUAUUCAAGUUGCAGGAACAUGAUGUUAUAAUGAGACAAUGUGUUCAACUGAUGAUUUCGUUAUGGUUAAUGUAGAGCAACAGAUCAUGUUACAUAGAAAACAUUGAUUAUAGUAUAUUUCACCAUUCAAAAAUUCCUCAUGCAACAAGAGCUCCAAUACAAACAAUAUGAUACACCAGUGGGUGAGAAACAUACAAAAGGAAAAUACUCCAGCAAGAUAAUUUUCAUUGGAUUGUCAUAUCUACAUCAUAUAUAGGUGUGCAACACCAGAAACAUUUGCGAGAAUGGUUGCAUGGAUGAAGCUCCAACAUACAAAAUAGAGCAAAAAAGGGGGGGCAUGCCCCAGCAUGACACAUGCUUCUUCCAAGCUUCAGUUCCAUAGAAGACUAGAGGUAAUAGCUACAGUAUACUUGUUGUCUCGGUUACAAAACAUGUCACACGUACAUGCACCGGAAAAAGGCCCUUUCACCAUCCUUGUAAAUGUCACGGAAAAUAUGCCUUGCCCCUCUUCCCGAAUUGUAACGGCAUGCUACCAUUCAGUAUCUUCUUAACCAUGUCCCUUGUUAAUCAGAUCUUCUUCUCAUCAUUUAUCCCGCGAUACAAAAAACCAUAGAAAUCAAUGGAUGUUGCGAAAGAAAGAAAAAAGGGAGUUAUGCAAUACAAAUAGAGGAAACAAAAAAAAAA
This 18315-nucleotide long non-coding RNA is filed under the name Triticum aestivum (bread wheat). RNAcentral describes it as "long non-coding RNA (TAES_LNC027602)". The record is from RNAcentral. Lineage: Eukaryota; Viridiplantae; Streptophyta; Magnoliopsida; Poales; Poaceae.